UACGGGGGGGGCAAGCGUUGUUCGGAAUUACUGGGCGUAAAGGGCUCGUAGGCGGCCAACUAAGUCGGACGUGAAAUCCCCAGGCUCAACCUGGGAACUGCGUCCGAUACUGGAUGGCUUGAAUCCGGGAGAGGGAUGCAGAAUUCCAGGUGUAGCGGUGAAAUGCGUAGAUAUCAGGAGGAACACCAAUGGCGAAGGCAGCUCGCUGGGACGUGACUGACGCUGAGACGCGAAAGCGUGGGGAGCAAACAGG
RNAcentral lists this ribosomal RNA (253 nucleotides) under uncultured bacterium. Its description in RNAcentral is "partial 16S ribosomal RNA". It matches the Rfam family "Bacterial small subunit ribosomal RNA", at positions 524 to 776 of the family's 1533-position model. The record is from RNAcentral.